This 299-nucleotide long non-coding RNA is filed under the name Elaeis guineensis (African oil palm). RNAcentral describes it as "long non-coding RNA (EGUI_LNC044996)". The record is from RNAcentral. Lineage: Eukaryota; Viridiplantae; Streptophyta; Magnoliopsida; Arecales; Arecaceae.
UUUCUAUCAAAAUCGAUAGAUCCCAUCUUGAUGUGCACCCUAUUUCUACAGUGGACCAACUGUCACCAACAUCUACUACAAGGGCUCAUUGACAUCAUAUUUAUGUAUCAGUCAAAUUUCAGCAGUCUCACUGUGAGUAAUCAUACUAUCGUAGGUCAAAAGAUCAUUCACACAACUACAGCAUCAAGAUAAUUACUGACAAUCGAGUAAAAAUCUAAGUGAUCUCUCAUAUGGUCAUGCUCAGUACUAAUUAUUCUCUAAUAAUUACCAACACUCAUCGCUCAGUAUCUUUACACGGU